UGCUUAACACAUGCAAGUCGAACGCGAAAGGGACUUCGGUCCCGAGUAGAGUGGCGCACGGGUGAGUAACGCGUAAGUAAUCUACCCCUGUAUCUGGAAUAACCCACCGAAAGGUGAGCUAAUACCGGAUACGUUUAUCUUGACGCGAAUGAUGAUAAAGAAAGGUGGCCUCUUCAUGAAAGCUACCGUACUGGGACGAGCUUGCGUACCAUUAGCUGGUUGGUAGGGUAAUGGCCUACCAAGGCGACGAUGGUUAGCGGGUCUGAGAGGAUGAUCCGCCACACUGGAACUGAAACACGGACCAGACUCCUACGGGAGGCAGCAGUGAGGAAUAUUGCGCAAUGGGGGCAACCCUGACGCAGCGACGCCGCGUGGACGAUGAAGGCCCUUGGGUCGUCAAAUCCUGUCAGAUGGAAAGAAAUGUACAGGUGUUAAUAUCGCCUGUAUUUGACGGUACCAUCAAAGGAAGCACCGGCUAACUCCGUGCCAGCAGCCGCGGUAAUACGGAGGGUGCGAGCGUUGUUCGGAAUUACU
RNAcentral lists this ribosomal RNA (534 nucleotides) under uncultured delta proteobacterium. Its description in RNAcentral is "bacterial SSU rRNA". It matches the Rfam family "Bacterial small subunit ribosomal RNA", at positions 45 to 555 of the family's 1533-position model. Lineage: Bacteria; Deltaproteobacteria. The record is from RNAcentral.